This is a long non-coding RNA of Carassius auratus (goldfish), 307 nucleotides long. RefSeq lists it as uncharacterized. The record is from RefSeq and is a predicted model, not a curated record. The transcript is spliced from 3 exons. NCBI's taxonomy places the organism in Eukaryota, Metazoa, Chordata, Actinopteri, Cypriniformes, Cyprinidae.
UGAAACUAACCUCAGCGUUACACUCGUGAAUCAGAUCCGUUCACUUUUCAUUCUAUAUUCAAUUGGGAAAGUAUCGAAGUCAUUCAAAAUGAGUUUUCAGGUCAAUUCUACAGAUUUAAAACCUGACACAGAAAUAAAAGAAUCUGUGUCAACAGCAGAAGAAGAGUUCAAGAGCAGCACUGAAGAGACAGAAAGAAAACUCGUUCCUGAAGAUGAAGAUGGUGACAAAUCUUCAGAUGCAGGCUCGUCACAGGGAUCACUCGGUGAAUUCACUCCUUUUUACUUGCGCCGUGAUUCUUCACCAAUU